Oryzias latipes (Japanese medaka) is the source of this 1368-nucleotide non-coding RNA. The record is from RefSeq and is a predicted model, not a curated record. Lineage: Eukaryota; Metazoa; Chordata; Actinopteri; Beloniformes; Adrianichthyidae.
AAUUUGCAACCAAAACUCAAAUCUGCAAAUCAAAAUUCAUAAAUUGAGAACCAAAACCCAUAAUUUGCAACCAAAACUCAAAUCUGCAAAUCAAAAUUCAUAAAUUGAGAACCAAAACCCAUAAUUUGCAACCAAAAGCUAUAACCUAAAGCGCAAUCAUAUUUCUCAGGUGCUGAUUUGUUUUCUCGCUGUUCUGAAAUCGCCUUUUUGAGUUGCGCUUUUAUUUUGAAAUCGUCUUUUGAGUUGAGCUUUUUUUUUUUGCGGUUGCGAUUCUAAAACCUGUCACACACGUAAAAACAGCGCCACGUCAGUCAACGGGAGGGGAGGCGGGACAUCCCCGACAGCCAGUAGCUCAUUGGCUACCGAAUGACUCCGAGUCUUACGUCAGCGUCCACCACCUCAGAGCGCCAAAAUCGUACCAAUAUCAGAGACAGUCAUGGCGAACCAGCAACCGGAGAAUGGAUACUCUGAGAUACUGUCAGCUGUACAGACCCUGGUGUCUGCCCUUCAGCAAAAUCUACAGCAGAGCCAAGCUGCAAACAGGGUGAACCAGGGACCUGGUCCAGUAGUACAGCAACAGAUGGCUACUCCUCAGCAUAGCCAGACACCACACCAAAGUGAUCAGGGACAGAGUCAGAGUCUUUUAGCACAGCAACGGACCACAUCUGUACAGCAGGAAAUGAGCAGGUUCUAUUAUAAUUGAAAGUUCUUUGUCCUAAGUAUUUUAGUGUAUUUAACGUUACAGUCACAAAUUGAAGUAUUGAAGUAUUUGUAUUUCCAUUUAUAAUUACUAAAAUUGUUGACAUAUGUUAAAACAGAAAUAUAAUUAUGAAGUGCUCAUUAGUAUGUGGUUUCUUCUGUCUCAGGUCUUUUCCAGCUCUCUUCCGGAGGCAAAAUGCUACUGGAAAAAGACGUUUUCCAAGUGCCUCAAAAAUAUGCAAAAUGUCCAAGUUAAUGAAAGCGUUUUCAUGCAACUUCUGUUUGCUCAAUACAAAUUUAAAGUACACCCCCUCUCCUUCAGAGGAAUUACAACUUUUUCAGGCUGGACUAGGCAAACGAAGCAUCAGUCUUUCAGAGAACCUAAGUCAUUCUGAGCUGCAGAACCUGUUGCAUGAAGCAUUUCCAAAACUGGAGGCGUUAACAGGAGGAUGGCUGCUUCAUAAAUCCUCAGGUGGCAAUGGAAAGAGACAAAUGAUACUCAUAGCUCCAGAUAGCGAAGGCUAUACAGGGGCACAAAUAAAGAUGGUCUCCCUCAGUGGUAAAGCAACUCUUUAUAUAGUUCCUCUACAAGACGAACUCAACACUACUCCUUUACCCCCUGAAGCGAAAGAAUUUGAGAGCAUGCCUAAAGCAGCAUGCAAAAGUUGC